This is a long non-coding RNA of Cyprinus carpio (common carp), 1273 nucleotides long. Lineage: Eukaryota; Metazoa; Chordata; Actinopteri; Cypriniformes; Cyprinidae. The record is from Ensembl.
GAAUGGUAGCGUGUAUAUUUAUGUAAUUUGCUAAUGUCUUACUAUAAAAUACAUAUAUAAUGCAUAUUAUAUUCAUAAUAUAUGCAUUCAUUGUGUACUAUAGGGCAUAGAUCAAGGCUUAUGGUUAAUGAUAUAGACAUUUUUUUAAACCCUCUUUUUAGAAUAUGUGUGCUAGCUAGCAUUAAACGUAAUUAAUCUCAAUAACAUGUUAGGUUUGACAACCAUGAAGUAAAUGCAUGCUGAUUUUAUAUGUACAAUGUUUCUAAAUGUGUUUUUUGUGGCUCUGUAUGUUCAGAAAGAGGAAGAGGAGGCUCGCCAGAGAGAAGAGGCAGAGCGUUUGCGUCUGGAGAGAGAGAAACACUUCCAGAAAGAGGAGGCUGAGAGAAUGGAGAGGAAGAAGGUAAGCUAAUUUCAUUUUGAGUGCUUUUUAAGGUAAUGGCAGGGUUGAAAUAUUAUCUGAAUCUUGUCUGUCACAGCGCCUUGAGGAAAUUAUGAAACGCACACGCCGAUCUGAUCAGAAAACCACCCCACAGAGAAAUGGCGAUGUCAGCCAGCAGAGCGGACAGAAUUCAGUGAGUUCAAUAUCCAGCAGCCCUUCAGUGACAGUGUCAGCCCCUCAGGCUCCGGAGACCUCUGAGACAGUAUGCAGUGACAGUAAUGGACACACAGGGCCCAGCUGCGUUACACCCAUACUGCCCACAUCAGGUCACAGUGUGGUUGUCCAGCUCAGAGAAAAUGGCACUGUCACAGAGGCUUUCGAGGAGGUCAUAGAGGUUCCCGUGGGGACCAAACUGUCCCGUCAAGAUGGAGAUGGAGAGGAGGUGGAAAAUGAAGAAGAGGAGAAGAGAAAGGUUCCCUUAUUGGCUUUCAGAGAGAAUGGCAGCAUGCAUAAUGUGAGUGGACUGGAGGAAAACCCGGCACAGUAAAGUUCAGAGCAUAAAGCACUGGGUUUAAGCCGCAAUGGGAAAAAGCCAACAGCCGGCAAGUGUAAAAUGCAUAAUCAAGAUGAAUGGAUACAUUACACUCUAGAAAUGAAGACAAACCAUAGUCCUGCAGAAUUCUCAAGAACAUAACUAUGUUGUAUGGAGCCCAUCCAAUGAAGAAUACCAGCCCAAUGCAGAAUAUCAGUUUGAUAGUCUUGUGUCGCCCCUUUGUUUGGGAUCGUGUGAUUGUCUGGAACAUUCUAACGUGACAAAAUCCCAUGAUGCAAAAUGCAAUCAAGAAGAAAACAUUCUGUAAAUAAACAGCGGCAUGUCUCACUUGAAUACUGUCA